This 74-nucleotide transfer RNA is filed under the name Mesocricetus auratus (golden hamster). It matches the Rfam family "tRNA". Rfam says of the family: Transfer RNA (tRNA) molecules are approximately 80 nucleotides in length. Their secondary structure includes four short double-helical elements and three loops (D, anti-codon, and T loops). Lineage: Eukaryota; Metazoa; Chordata; Mammalia; Rodentia; Cricetidae. The record is from Rfam by way of RNAcentral.
AGUAGUAUAGCUCAGUUGGUAGAGUAAUUGCCUAACAUUCAGGUAAGCCCUAGGUUCAAUUCCCAAUACUGCCU